GUAAGUAACUGUCGUUUCCAACGAGUGAAAUUUUGCCCCGUAUUUGUCGCUAGGGGGUUUCGUAAACAUUUCAACGAAAAAGUUCCCUCGAAUGACUCGGAAAUUGUCAACAAAUUAUCAUUUUAUAAUGCAAAAAGUGCAAUCGCAGUGUCUCGUGUUUCUAUAAGAAUAGCUUCUUCCUUUCAGAAAAAACUGUUGCCCAUAUUCUGGUGAAAAAUAAAAUAGUGUCUCACAAAUGUAAUUAUCGCAGAUCUUCAGUUUCAGACGAGAAAUAUUAUUUAUCUUCGUUCUCGCUUUUUCUUGUUCGUUUCUGGAUAUUUCAUUUCUCAUUCUUAUCUUCUCUUCCGUGACUCGAGACAAGCCGGAUGUCAGAUUAUCGGCAAGGAAAAUCUGUUACUCGAGAAGACACAGAUGAUGCACUUUGACCAUUUUUUUUGAACAUCUUCGUCACACCCUCUGUCACGUGGAUUUCCCCGAAAUGGAUUUUCUCGGAAAUUUUCUCCGGCUAGUUUCGGGCUAGGCUACAAGAUUUUCUAGUUUCACGGCGUGUCUCUAGCCAGGCAGCUGCAGCUGUUACGAAUGCCGUGGUAACAAGCGUGUCCAAAGGAUCGAGGAGGAAUCCAUUAUUCCGCCGUGAAAUCGUAGGGAAAAGGAUGACGUUUCAGAAAAAAAAAACCGAUUAUUUCAUGGACGAAUCCUUGCGAUGACAAUAUACCCAGGCUUACCAUGAACAGCUGACUUCGUUGCGUCGUUUAUGAUCAAGAACCGAUAUUCUUUGUUAUUCACAUGAUUACCCAAAUAGACAAUACAUUUAUUAGAUUGCUUUUGGUACAAAUUGGGGUACAAAAUCCAUGACGAGAUUCACGAUUCGUUCUCUACAAGCCAAAAUCAUAGAAGCGUAAUCUUCCAGUUGUCCAAGGGUAUAAUCAAAGAAUUAUGCUACAUUUAUUAUACUAUACACUAUACUACUAUAUUUAUUUAGUUUACAGAACUUUUAUUCGAACAGGGCAAGACUUUCCACUUUGGAACUUAUUCAAGUAAAAAUAUUGCAACACUGGCUGUUGCAACUCUGCUAUACUAUACUAAUUGUACUAUACUUAACACUGUUGUACUAUACUGUACUAGCUGUACUAUACUAUACUAUGUAAUAUAUAGAUAAUAUAUAAGAUACUUUGACCAGGAAUCAAAGUAUGAAUAGGAUAGGAUAUAUAACCACAGAUAGAAAGAGUUUAGUACCACAGCAAGCACAAGCUAAUAUUACAACAUUUUUAUAUCUAUAAGUUCUCUUGUUCUGUGAAGUGUAAUUACAGUACAACGUAACACCGUUGUCGAUCCUUACACAUCAAACAACAAACUACUGGAUGAAACAAAUACUUAAUACGCGUCUUUUUUGGGACUGCAACAAACUGCAGUUGCAAGGAAGUCAUUGUCUUGGGACGGUUACCUGUCCCUAAGGAUUAGCAUGCAGUUAUUCCGGCAGAUGGAGAAUAGGAAAGUAGGAAUAGCAACGAUGUCUCUUGCGGUCAUGCCGCGCUGAAAUAGGACAAUCGUUCGACAUACCUACCGGAAUUAGGAUUCUAACGGUCACCGAAUGGAAACGCCAAUGUCACUCCUUUCCCAAGCAUUUGCCUGCCUGGACAUAAUGACAGGGUGACAAAGGAUAAUGUGACGAUCUCUCGACCGCAAGUCUACAAUUUUCUAUAAUUUACUGUUAGCGUAGUUUUAAAAUCUACGCUAGGAAUUAUCCAGUGUACCACGAGUUGCACAACACGUAUUAGGAAUUUUGGCAGAUAAUACAAGUAUGAAGAAUCGGUUGACAUCAACGGAGUUAUUAUUGCGAGACCAGCGCAUCCAGUUGAAAAUGGCGUGCAUUAUAAACACACGGAUCCAACCAUGUUGCUCAUGUACACGCGUACCUAUAUGUAGGUAGACGCGUACAUGCACGUAUGGUAGCUGAAGGGGCAGGUUUCGAGCACCAACCUUGGCAAAAGGGCCCAGCGUAUAAAUGGCGGCUGAAAAUUCGCAAACUCGCCAACAUUGUACUGAUAUUUGGCUUCUUCUGUAUCAUAUCUAUCUAAGGAUAAUUAAAUCACCACUUGUUGGGUGGAACAAAU
Frieseomelitta varia is the source of this 2114-nucleotide long non-coding RNA. RefSeq lists it as uncharacterized. Lineage: Eukaryota; Metazoa; Arthropoda; Insecta; Hymenoptera; Apidae. The transcript is spliced from 3 exons. The record is from RefSeq and is a predicted model, not a curated record.